This 404-nucleotide long non-coding RNA is filed under the name Anser brachyrhynchus (Pink-footed goose). RNAcentral describes it as "lncRNA (ENSABRG00000002826.1)". The record is from RNAcentral. Lineage: Eukaryota; Metazoa; Chordata; Aves; Anseriformes; Anatidae.
CAGAGACCUAUAGUGUUGUUACAGUACUGAUUUUUUAGGAAACCAUGUGAAAAGGAACUUGGCUUUGGUCUUUGGUCCAAGGAGCUUUCUGUUCUCUCGGAGUCUACAAAAUGCUGAGCAAUGAACAUAUGGCUGUUACUAUCAGCACUGGUGUAUUUGCAGCGAUGCCUAUCAACAUCCACCAGAGAGCAGGGCAGCUCCAAAACCCACAUCUUUCAUGCUGUGGAAAUUGAUGGAGACAGCAACACAGCCAGCUUCUUGGCCAAACAACAUGGAAUGCAGUUCAUUUCAAAGAUGCUUGGCAGCACAGUAGAAAAAUUGUAGCUAUGGAAAAGGCUACCGAGGAGGUACCACACUGGAAUGCACUUCUUCAAAGUGUAACUCUUGAAUGAUAGACAGUGAGU